RNAcentral lists this ribosomal RNA (1233 nucleotides) under Triticum aestivum (bread wheat). RNAcentral's name for it is "partial small subunit ribosomal RNA". The record is from RNAcentral. Lineage: Eukaryota; Viridiplantae; Streptophyta; Magnoliopsida; Poales; Poaceae.
AUGAAGGUUGAAGAAGCAUUGGAAGAUCUGGAUUGGAUAAAUGCUAUGCAUGAAGAGCUACACAACUUUGAGAGAAAUCAAGUGUGGACAUUGGUUGAAAAGCACGACAACAACCACAACAUCAUCGGUACCAAAUGGGUGUUUCGCAACAAGCAAGAUGAAGAUGGACAAGUGGUUCCCAACAAAGUGCGUCUCGUCGCCCAAGGCUACACACAAGUCGAAGGUAUGGACUAUGGUGAGACAUAUGCUCCCGUUGCUAGACUUGACUCCAUUCGCAUCUUACUUGCCUAUGCUAAUCACAAUAAUAUCACCUUGUACCAAAUGGACAUUAAAAGUGCUUUUCUAAAUGGUGAAAUUGAAGAGGAAGUUUAUGUUAAGCAACCUCCCGGCUUUGUCAAUCCUAAGAAACCUAAUCAUGUUUACAAACUUCACAAAGCCCUUUAUGGUCUUAAACAAGCUCCUAGAGCAUGGUAUACAUGCUUGACCAAGUUCCUUAUUGAAACAGGCUUUGAAAUUGAAAAAAUAUAUUCUACUCUUUUUACUAAAAGGGUUAAUGGAGAACUAUUUGUAUGCCAAAUUUAUGUUGAUGAUAUUAUAUUUGGAUCAACUAACCCUCAUUUUAGUGAAAAGUUUGGGAAGUUAACGUCGGAGAAGUUUGAGAUGUCUAUGAUGAUUGAACUCAAAUUCUUUCUUGGUUUGCAAAUCAAGCAAACUAAGGAAGGCACCUUUGUCUCUCAAACGAAGUACACCAAGGACUUAUUCAAGAAGUUCAAUAUGCAAGAACGCAAAAGUAUGACUACACCCAUGCCUACUAGUGGACAUCUUGAUUUGAUCAAAGAUGGUGAACCGGUUGAUCAAAAAGUUUAUCGCUCUAUGAUUGGUUCAUUAUUAUAUCUAUGUGCUUCAUGUCCCGAUAUCAUGUUAAGUGUGUGCAUGUGUGCACGAUAUCAAGCUGCUCCUAAGGAAUGUUAUCUUAUGGACGUAAAAAGGAUAGUGAGAUACUUAAUACAUACACCAAAUUUUGGCAUUUGGUAUCCAAAGAGAACUUCCUUUGAUCUUGUUGGCUACUCCGACUCGGACUAUGCCGGUGACAAGGUUGAUAGGAAGUUCACUUUGGGUACUUGUCAAUUUCUUGGUAGAUCUCUUGUGUCUUGGUCUCCCAAGAAACAAAACUCGGUAUCCUUAUCCACCGCUGAAGCGGAAUACAUUGCUGCGGGUUCAUGUUGUGCUUAA